GCRGGGGGAUUCMUUUCMCGGRAAAAAAAKRGGCCCAGAUCGUUUACCGUGAAAAAAUUAGAGUGUUCAAAGCAGGCAGAUCCAAUUUUCUGCCACCGAAUACAWWAGCAUGGGAUAAUGGAAUAGGMCCCUGUCCUCCUAUUUUCAGUUGGUUUUGGCAGCGCGAGGACUAGGGUAAUGAUUAAUAGGGAUAGUUGGGGGCAUUAAUAUUUAAUUGUCAGAGGUGAAAUUCUUGGAUUUAUGAAAGAUUAACUUCUGCGAAAGCAURUGCCAAGGAUGUUUUCAUUAAUCAAGAACGAAAGUUAGGGGAUCGAAGACGAUCAGAUACCGUCGUAGUCUUAUCUGUAAACGAUGCCGACCAGCGAUUAGGAGACGUUGAMUUCCSUUUUCCACCAUCGGUUGCGGUCGUCCUUGGCGUCUCGGUUUCGGCCG
RNAcentral lists this ribosomal RNA (432 nucleotides) under Acanthamoeba sp. RNAcentral describes it as "partial 18S ribosomal RNA". It matches the Rfam family "Eukaryotic small subunit ribosomal RNA", at positions 720 to 1127 of the family's 1831-position model. The record is from RNAcentral. Lineage: Eukaryota; Discosea; Longamoebia; Acanthamoebidae.